Musa acuminata AAA Group (dessert banana) is the source of this 1511-nucleotide RNA transcript. It is a transcript of the gene named NAC domain-containing protein 83, with no coding region annotated. The record is from RefSeq and is a predicted model, not a curated record. Lineage: Eukaryota; Viridiplantae; Streptophyta; Magnoliopsida; Zingiberales; Musaceae. The transcript is spliced from 5 exons.
UGUGUGCAGUUGAUAAGCAAACGUAAACAUCCCCGUCUCUGUCAUCGACAUCGUCUUUUCGUUAUACUGCAUCAAUAGGUUGAGUCUGGUCCACGCUACUCCGGCCGUCGCCUUCUUUCCGCAACCUUUUCUAUAAACUGGUGUCCCCUCCUGUUAUCCUCGCCUCACCACUCCCCUUUGCUUCUCCUCGGAUUCUUCCCUUUUUCCAUGCUCCCAAACGUGCGGCGGCUCUCCUGAAGGAGAAGCAAGGGAAGUGCUUACAACGUAAAUGAGUCACAAGCCGAGUCUUGUAAGGUUUGGAGCUCUCAGGCUGCCCCCUGGGUUUAGGUUCCAUCCCACUGAUGAAGACCUAGUUGUUCAGUACCUCAAGAGGAAGGUCUUCUCCUGCCCAUUGCCAGCUUCCAUCAUUCCUGAGAUCGAUCUCGGGAAGUACGAUCCAUGGAACUUGCCUGGUGCAUUAAUGGAAGGCGAUGAGAGGUAUUGCUUCAACCGUAGAGAGGCGAAAUAUCCCAAUGGGAAGCGAUCAAACCGGGCGGCGAGAUCCGGCUACUGGAAGGCCAGGGGGAAGGACAAGCAGAUCGUAGCUUCUGGGUGCAACCAAGUGGUGGGGAUGAGAAGGGUUUUGGUCUUCUACCGCGGAAAACCUCCUACCAGCUCUCCAACCGACUGGAUGAUGCAUGAGUAUCGCCUGGCCGGCUCUGAUGGCAGAAGCUUGGUCUACCCGCAGAGGAAGAACUCAACUCAUGGUUUGAUGAUUCCAAGCCAAGACUGGGUGCUUUGUCGCAUUUUUAAGAGGAGAAGAGCCCCCAUAGUCGUCGACGAGGAGGAGGACAUCAUUACAAACGACGUCACUGAUUUCAGAGAUUUCAUGGACGAGAGAGAGGGUGAUCCGACACCAUCUUCAUCCUCUUCGCCUGAGAAGAGCUGUGUCAGAGAGCUGUUUGAUGAAUCUAGCAGAGGAGAGGAAACUAAUUCACCUCCCUGAGAGACGAUGCUGUCGAAGGCAGAUGGCUUUACAUGCAACAAGGAGGAUGUGAUGCUGCAGAAAGAGAACAAAAGCUGAAAGGGAGGCAUACGUCCAGGUAGGUUUGUGGAUAAGAUGCUGCCUCUAGCCAUCGUUUAACUCGACAAGAAAGAAGGCCAAAUCGCAUCAAAAAAUGAAACCUACGCCAUGAAGGUUUCAACUCUUUCUUGAUGGAUCUAAGAGACAUGCAUGCAUGAAUGGCGCAUCUGGGGACCAUGGUAUCAUGUACCAACAAAGCUUUUUGGUGCUUUGCAUGGUGAAGCGUCUCGGUUGCUCAGAGACUGUCUUUUCUGGACCACUUACAAUUACCAAUUACAAUUACCAAUUAUCCAAGGUCUGUGAGGAGGAAGUUGCCGAACCCCUCAUCAGAAAUGGAUGAUGAUUUGGACGGUAUUAUCAGACAAGCUAAAGCUUUAGCGACACUCGGCAGUAAAAUUAUAAACGUCUUUCCACCAUGGAAUUCAAUAGAAAUCAUUCCUCAUGCUAC